CUCUUACUGACGGGUCCCAAAUAGGACGAAAUACACAUCCUGGAU
This 45-nucleotide non-coding RNA is filed under the name Trichobilharzia regenti. The record is from RNAcentral. Lineage: Eukaryota; Metazoa; Platyhelminthes; Trematoda; Strigeidida; Schistosomatidae.